CGCUGGCGGCGUGCUUAACACAUGCAAGUCGAGCGGAAAGGCCCUUCGGGGUACUCGAGCGGCGAACGGGUGAGUAACACGUGAGUAACCUGCCCCUGACUCUGGGAUAAGCCCGGGAAACUGGGUCUAAUACCGGAUACGACGCGCUUUCGCAUGGAAUCGCGCGUGGAAAGUUUUUUCGGUCAGGGAUGGACUCGCGGCCUAUCAGCUUGUUGGUGGGGUAGUGGCCUACCAAGGCGACGACGGGUAGCCGGCCUGAGAGGGCGACCGGCCACACUGGGACUGAGACACGGCCCAGACUCCUACGGGAGGCAGCAGUGGGGAAUAUUGCGCAAUGGGCGAAAGCCUGACGCAGCGACGCCGCGUGGGGGAUGACGGCCUUCGGGUUGUAAACCUCUUUCAGCAGGGACGAAGUUGACGUGUACCUGCAGAAGAAGCGCCGGCUAACUACGUGCCAGCAGCCGCGGUAAUACGUAGGGCGCAAGCGUUGUCCGGAAUUA
This 500-nucleotide ribosomal RNA is filed under the name uncultured Streptosporangium sp. Its description in RNAcentral is "bacterial SSU rRNA". It matches the Rfam family "Bacterial small subunit ribosomal RNA", at positions 34 to 553 of the family's 1533-position model. The record is from RNAcentral. Lineage: Bacteria; Bacillati; Actinomycetota; Actinomycetes; Streptosporangiales; Streptosporangiaceae.